AGGACUAUACUUCCAGGAUCAUUCCCAUAGUUCGUGACCACAGAAGUUUCUCUGACCAUGUAGAGCACUGGAAAUCUCGAGGAGGAGGCCAGCGUUGUCUCCUGAGGUGAAGUUGGGUCUUCGUGUGACGUGACCGCAACUGUCAUUUGCCAUAGAUAAUCGUUCUUGCUUUCCAUCUGGGAAACAAGAGGGAGAGGACGCAGUCUGAGUGGA
This 213-nucleotide small nucleolar RNA is filed under the name Carlito syrichta (Philippine tarsier). RNAcentral describes it as "Small nucleolar RNA U3 (ENSTSYG00000024755.2)". It matches the Rfam family "Small nucleolar RNA U3". From Rfam's summary of the family: Small nucleolar RNAs (snoRNAs) are involved in the processing and modification of rRNA in the nucleolus. The record is from Rfam by way of RNAcentral. Lineage: Eukaryota; Metazoa; Chordata; Mammalia; Primates; Tarsiidae.